Molecule: ribosomal RNA, 53 nt
Filed under: Cryptomonas paramaecium
Lineage: Eukaryota; Cryptophyceae; Cryptomonadales; Cryptomonadaceae
Description: Cryptomonas paramecium partial 5.8S ribosomal RNA
Rfam family: 5.8S ribosomal RNA
About the family: 5.8S ribosomal RNA (5.8S rRNA) is a component of the large subunit of the eukaryotic ribosome. It is transcribed by RNA polymerase I as part of the 45S precursor that also contains 18S and 28S rRNA. Functionally, it is thought that 5.8S rRNA may be involved in ribosome translocation.
Source: RNAcentral
CUAACAAUGGAUAUCUUGGCUCUUGUAUCGAUGACGAACGCAGCAAAUCGCGA